RNAcentral lists this ribosomal RNA (387 nucleotides) under Triticum aestivum (bread wheat). Its description in RNAcentral is "partial small subunit ribosomal RNA". The record is from RNAcentral. Lineage: Eukaryota; Viridiplantae; Streptophyta; Magnoliopsida; Poales; Poaceae.
AUGCUGCACGCGUUUGUGCAGAGCAACGACAACGACGACACCGCGAGCCAGGGGAGCGCCGGCGUCCUCUGGGGUCGCCGUCAGCGCGCGGCCGCCACGGAGAUGGACGGGGACGAGACGGCCGUCGUGGCGGCGGCAGAGGCUGAGGUGGUGGGGUCGGCGGAGACGGAGGAGCACGUCCAGCGCAUCCUCCUCGCCAUCGACAACUUCACUCGCAAGGUGUCGGAGAUGCUGGACUCCGGGCGCGCCAUGUUCAAGGACCUCGCCGCCGACUUCGAGGACCGCCUCUGCACGAUCCACAAGGAGAGGGUGGACAAGUGGGAGGAGGAGAUCAGGGAGCUGCGCGCCCGCGACGCCGCCAACGAGCACACCCGCGCCAGCACUUAG